RNAcentral lists this small RNA (174 nucleotides) under chicken gut metagenome. RNAcentral's name for it is "Bacteroidales-1 6S-Bacteroidales RNA suggested". It matches the Rfam family "Bacteroidales-1 6S-Bacteroidales RNA suggested". The record is from RNAcentral.
GCCACAUCGGUAGACUGGGAAACUCAUCAAUUAUAAAAAAAAUCCCGAGACAACCUUCUUAUUUCAAUGGCGGGCCACACUUCUUCGGAAGACACAAACAGUGGAUUACAAAGAUUUAAGAGAACUCAAAACUUGUCAUACGGAGUUUCAUCGCAUCACCGAUGUGGUUUUUUU